CCGCCGUUGAAGGUGCUCACUCACCAUGGCCUACAUCGAGCACGAGCAUUGAAGAGAGUUCCAAAAAUUGGCCCCGCCGUGAAGAAGAUUGUCCUCAGAACACUGAAAAUGCUCUUCUGGGGUCUGCUUCUCCAGGGUGGAUAUUCUCACGCUCCAGAAGUCCGGAUGACCUCUCUUUCGGAGUGGACAUGAAGAAGAUUAGAUGGUGUGGCAUCCUACAGGUUCAGUACACCCGACAAAAAGAAGAAAAAUUGCCACCUCCUUUUCAUCUAUCUAGGUUAGGUGGUCUCAUCGUGUAUGUCAUAUACAUGAUCACAACAUGUAUAUGUCCCGGAUUGGAGCUUUCUUUACCACAAUGAUGGUGUUGUUAAUGACGGGAAGCAAUUUAUGGUACAAUGUGGUGUGAGGAGCCACCUGGACCAGGCUUGCAAUGCAGUUGGAUAUGUUGAUAAGCAGGUUUGGGGGAUUAAUCAUCUCUAUACGCAACCGGUUUGAAUCCGAUCAAAGGAUUGCACUUUUAGCUCGCCGAAUACAGGUCCUCUGCGAGCAGAUGCACCAACAUGGUGUCUUGCACCUUUCAAACCAGAAGGCUUAUUAAGUUCAAUAUCAUCGAUUCUAUUAGGGACAAUCGGAAUUCAUUAUGGCCAUAUUCUAAUCCAUUUUGAACUUGAUUGGAGCUUUUGUUCUUUGCAAAGUUAUAUGACGUUUAAAGAGUAACAAUGAACCGCCGUCAUCAUAUCCGAGGCCUCCUUGAGUUCGGCUAACGUCACAAAAGAUCGCGAAUCUUGAGGCUUGUCAAAUUGUGGCGAGGGUUGCAGCUCAUUGCCCAAGCAGACGUGGUUUGCCGAUCUCAACGGUGAGGCUGCUAGUUAAGGAAAGGCAGUCACGGUUAAUGCCGAGGCAAGUCUGUUUCCCUUAUCCCGAAUUUCUUUUGGCCUUUUUCCUUCUUUUCCCCCUCUGGCUUGCUUUUAUCUCAUUGCCAUGAUACCUAAGGCAAUUUCUAUAAUCUCUCUUUAACUGUUUUUCUUUUAAGUCUAAGAAUACGGCUCCCAAAAAUUAUCAAUCCAGAAACCGCUGUUGGUAAUCGUACCCUACCCCAAAGUCUCAUGGUGAUAUUCCUGCAAGGAAACUAGCACAUACAGUACUUGAAGACAGCUUGAUAAAGCUGGAUAGCAUGCCUUGCAAAAAUCUUAGAAUUAUCAGAUGGGAACUUGGGACGGCUGCAAUACUUUCUGAAAAAGGAUUCUCCAGUAUCUGAGAAUGGUAAGGGGAAUGCAACAAAUGGUGACAAAAAGUCAGCUGUCAAAGGUCUUGGAAAGCAUUUUGAACAGUUAAGGAAGAUUAAAAAGAAAGAAUGCAAUAUUGAAGGUUCCAGCUCUGAGAAGGAAGAACCUAACUGUUUGCCGAUGAAUGGUAUGCAAGAAUCGGAUAAAAUAGCAGUUGGUGAAACAAAUAAGGAGGCUGAUAUAAGCAAGCUAAUGUCUGAGGAUGCUUUCUUUCGCCUGAAGAGUUUGAGAGCUGGCCUUCAUGAAAAGGUGAUUUAAAUUUGCAGGUUCACUCUCUUAGAAUUCUCUUUUAAGAUGGCUAGAACUAUGCUUGUGGUCGGCUUGUAAAUUCUCUCUAAAAUGCUUGUACGUAAACCUCCUUUUCUAUUGCUAAUAUAUAGAACAGUAGGUGCCUCCCCUACUGUAGUAUCCUCUACUAUAGUUCGUAAAAACAAAUAUGCAAGUUCACAGGAUUAUUUUAGAGUUUCUGAACACGAUUAAUUGAUAUCUUCUGUUAUAUAGAGUUUAACUUA
Phragmites australis (common reed) is the source of this 1798-nucleotide long non-coding RNA. RefSeq lists it as uncharacterized. The transcript is spliced from 8 exons. The record is from RefSeq and is a predicted model, not a curated record. NCBI's taxonomy places the organism in Eukaryota, Viridiplantae, Streptophyta, Magnoliopsida, Poales, Poaceae.